Molecule: ribosomal RNA, 501 nt
Filed under: uncultured bacterium
Lineage: Bacteria
Description: bacterial SSU rRNA
Rfam family: Bacterial small subunit ribosomal RNA
Source: RNAcentral
GACGAACGCUGGCGGCGUGCCUAACACAUGCAAGUCGAGCGGUUCAACGUUUAGCACUGAGCAUUCAUAAAGUAAAGUAGUUGAGCCAAAGCGUAAGCACUAAAGUGCUUCACGCGUUAAAAAAGCCAACACAGAUUAAGAUGGAUACAUGAUUGCUGAGUGCUGAACGUUGAAUAGCGGCGGACGGGUGAGUAACACGUGGGCAACCUACCUUUUACAGGGGGAUAACACCGGGAAACCGGUGCUAAUACCGCAUGAUAUGCAGAAAGGGCAUCCUAACUGCAUCAAAGGAGAAAUCCGGUAUAAGAUGGGCCCGCGUCCGAUUAGCUAGUUGGUGGGGUAACAGCUCACCAAGGCAACGAUCGGUAGCCGAACUGAGAGGUUGAUCGGCCACAUUGGGACUGAGACACGGCCCAGACUCCUACGGGAGGCAGCAGUGGGGAAUAUUGGGCAAUGGGGGAGACCCUGACCCAGCGACGCCGCGUGAGGGACGAAGGUUUC